GGUUUUGGCUCAGUGGUAGAGCACUUGCCUAGCAUGUUUGAGGCCCUGGGUUUGAUCCUCAGCACCA
Molecule: transfer RNA, 67 nt
Filed under: Marmota monax (woodchuck)
Lineage: Eukaryota; Metazoa; Chordata; Mammalia; Rodentia; Sciuridae
Description: tRNA.Ala
Source: RNAcentral